AACUAUCAAAUAGAACUUUUGUAUACAAUAUUGACAAGUGAAUUACAGUUGCAAUGAUUCAAUCUAAAAUCUAAAUUUUUUUUCCAAAAGUUUUUGGCAAAUGAAGUUUAACGGAACUAUACUGUUGUUUUUAUUAUUUUCUUUAUUUUUAUUCUCUAUUUUUUUGGCUUACCUACAAAAGAGGGUGUUUUUUAACUUUUCACUUUUUAAUUUUAUCUGUUAAAUUUUCAUGCAAUAUAAGAACAAAAAGCGUGAAUUGUGAGUAUUUAAUUUUCUCCAAGUGGAGUUUGAAAAUUUUUUUUCAAAAAAGAAAAUUAAGUUGGGCCCUUAUGUAUAACACAGCAUUGCUCUACCUAAAAAUAGCAAAAUAUCAUUAUAAUAUAACCUUUAAGGUAAUGGUCCUUUCUUAACACACAGUUUAAACAGACAUGGAUAAUUUCAUGAAGAAAAGUAGAAUAAUAUAACUAACUCUUGAAUAAAAG
This 482-nucleotide unclassified non-coding RNA is filed under the name Hevea brasiliensis (rubber tree). Lineage: Eukaryota; Viridiplantae; Streptophyta; Magnoliopsida; Malpighiales; Euphorbiaceae. The record is from RNAcentral.